Molecule: non-coding RNA, 29 nt
Filed under: Rattus norvegicus (Norway rat)
Lineage: Eukaryota; Metazoa; Chordata; Mammalia; Rodentia; Muridae
Source: RNAcentral
UCGAUCUGAUAUUGGGCCCUCAAUGCACU